RNAcentral lists this small RNA (1214 nucleotides) under Pongo abelii (Sumatran orangutan). RNAcentral's name for it is "processed transcript". Lineage: Eukaryota; Metazoa; Chordata; Mammalia; Primates; Hominidae. The record is from RNAcentral.
GCGGGCGGCUGCUGUACGCAGGCCGGGCCCAAAAGCGCGUGGAGCGGCAGAAUGAACUGAAGCGCAGGUUUGAGCAGAUGAAGCAGGACCGGCUGAGGCGUUACCAGGGUGUGAACUUGUACGUGAAGAACCUGGAUGACUCCAUUGAUGACGACAAGCUGAGGAAGGAGUUCUCUCCCUAUGGAGUAAUUACCAGUGCGAAGGUGAUGACAGAGGGUGGCCACAGCAAGGGGUUUGGCUUUGUGUGUUUUUCCUCCCCAGAAGAGGCGACAAAGGCCGUGACAGAGAUGAACGGGCGCAUCGUGGGCACCAAGCCACUCUACGUGGCACUGGCCCAGCGCAAAGAGGAGCGGAAGGCCAUUUUGACCAACCAGUACAUGCAGCGCCUCUCCACCAUGCGGACCUUGAGCAACCCCCUCCUGGGCUCCUUUCAGCAGCCCUCCAGCUACUUCCUGCCUGCCGUGCCCCAGCUGCCUACCCUCCAGGUGCCUCAGUGGUCCGGCCACCAGUUGUGCCUCGGCGCCCCCCGGCCCACAUCAGCAGUGUCAGGCAGGCCUCCACCCAGGUGCCACACACGGUGCCUCAUACCCAGAGAGUAGCCAACAUUGGUACUCAGACCACAGGACCCAGUGGGGUAGGAUGCUGUACACCAGGCCGGCCUCUCCUGCCGUACAAAUGUUCCUCAGCAGCACAUAGCACCUAUCGGGUCCAGGAGCCGGCUGUGCACAUCCCUGGACAGGAGCCCCUGACCGCGUCCAUGCUGGCUGCGGCACCCCUGCAUGAGCAAAAGCAGAUGAUUGAGGGUGUUCCACACAGGGGAGCGUCUCUACCCCCUUAUCCAUGAUGUCCACACCCAGCUGGCCGGCAAGAUCACGGGCAUGCUGCUGGAGAUUGACAACUCGGAGCUGUUGCUCAUGCUGGAGUCUCCAGAAUCACUCCAUGCCAAGAUAGACGAGGCAGUGGCCGUGCUGCAGGCACACCAGGCUAUGGAGCAGCCGAAGGCGUACGUGCACUGAAACCAGAAAAGGAAAUCCUUGCUUCCAUGGCUGCCAAAAGGACAGUGUUUCUGGCUCUCAGCCCUAAGGCCCUGCAAACUCUAACUUAUUUCCCCAUUAGUCUGUAUCUAUACUUGGGCUCUGUGUGUGAAUGAAGGUUGGUCACCCAUCCAGCCUAUUACCUUUUGCUUUGUGUAUUAAAAGUGCUGCAAAAUCUGC